This 440-nucleotide ribosomal RNA is filed under the name uncultured bacterium. RNAcentral describes it as "partial 16S ribosomal RNA". It matches the Rfam family "Bacterial small subunit ribosomal RNA", at positions 338 to 795 of the family's 1533-position model. The record is from RNAcentral.
CCUACGUGUGGCAGCAGUGGGGGAUAUUGCACAAUGGGGGGAACCCUGAUGCAGCGACGCCGCGUGGGUGACGAAGCGCCUCGGCGCGUAAAGCCCUGUCAGCAGGGAAGAAAAUGACGGUACCUGAAGAAGAAGCCCCGGCUAACUACGUGCCAGCAGCCGCGGUAAUACGUAGGGGGCAAGCGGUAUCCGGAUUUACUGGGUAGAAAGGGGGCGCAGACGGCGAUGCAAGCCAGGAGUGAAAGCCCGGGGCCCAACCCCGGGACUGCUCUUGGAACUGCGUGGCUGGAGUGGAGGAGGGGCAGGCGGAAUGCCUGGUGUAGCGGUGAAAUGCGUAGAGAUCAGGAGGAACACCGGUGGCGAAGGCGGCCUGCUGGACUGCAACUGACGUUGAGGCCCGAAAGCGUGGGGAGCAAACAGGAUUAGAUACCCGAGUAGUC